This 700-nucleotide ribosomal RNA is filed under the name uncultured bacterium. RNAcentral's name for it is "bacterial SSU rRNA". It matches the Rfam family "Bacterial small subunit ribosomal RNA", at positions 8 to 701 of the family's 1533-position model. The record is from RNAcentral.
AGAGUUUGAUCAUGGCUCAGAUUGAACGCUGGCGGCGUGCCUAACACAUGCAAGUCGAGCGGUAACAGGUGUAGCAAUACAUGCUGACGAGCGGCGGACGGGUGAGUAACGCUUGGGAAUCUGCCUGUUAGUGGGGGACAACCAACCGAAAGGUUGGCUAAUACCGCAUACGCACUACGGUGGAAAGCCGGGGACCGCAAGGCCUGGCGCUAACAGAUGAGCCCAAGUCGGAUUAGCUAGUUGGUAGGGUAACGGCCUACCAAGGCGACGAUCCGUAACUGGUCUGAGAGGACGACCAGUCACACCGGAACUGAGACACGGUCCGGACUCCUACGGGAGGCAGCAGUGGGGAAUAUUGGACAAUGGGGGCAACCCUGAUCCAGCGACGCCGCGUGGGUGAAGAAGGCCUGCGGGUUGUAAAGCCCUUUCGGUUGGGAAGAAAAGUUGCGACCUAACACGUCGCGACCUUGACGUAACCAACUAAAGAAGCACCGGCUAACUCUGUGCCAGCAGCCGCGGUAAUACAGAGGGUGCGAGCGUUAAUCGGAAUUACUGGGCGUAAAGCGCGCGUAGGCGGCUUUUCAAGUCGAUUGUGAAAUCCCCGGGCUUAACCUGGGAACUGCAGUCGAGACUGUCUAGCUAGAGUAUGGGAGAGGGAAGUGGAAUUUCAGGUGUAGCGGUGAAAUGCGUAGAUAUCUGA